RNAcentral lists this small RNA (381 nucleotides) under Arabidopsis thaliana (thale cress). RNAcentral describes it as "ATSL106940". The record is from RNAcentral. Lineage: Eukaryota; Viridiplantae; Streptophyta; Magnoliopsida; Brassicales; Brassicaceae.
GAUAGUUGAAUUGGUAAGCAUAAAAUCAUCCCCAACAAUUAUAGUCCGCUGUUAUCAUCGCGUUUUUGCGUUAGUUUACGGAAAAGGUAUAGACGUUUGAUACUGAGGUUUUGUGGACGGGCCUCUAGUUGGGUUUGUUCGUGGCAACUAGGAUGAGAUUUCAGCUCCUUAGAGUUGUGGAAAUUACGUAAAUUUCUAAAUUUGGCAUCUCGGAAUCGGUGUUUCUUCUUUUAUUUCCGUUAUAUACAUAUGUUUUUCUCCUUUGCUGUUUUGUCAUUGUCUGUUUUUCUGUACAUUUUGUUAUUUUUUUGCUACUAGUACUCUUUGUAACUUCAAUCGAAAUUUCGAAAAUUGUAUAAAUAUUUCAUAUUUUACCAAAUA